RNAcentral lists this ribosomal RNA (1452 nucleotides) under Salmonella enterica subsp. enterica serovar Cerro. RNAcentral describes it as "bacterial SSU rRNA". It matches the Rfam family "Bacterial small subunit ribosomal RNA". Lineage: Bacteria; Pseudomonadati; Pseudomonadota; Gammaproteobacteria; Enterobacterales; Enterobacteriaceae. The record is from RNAcentral.
GCUGACGAGUGGCGGACGGGUGAGUAAUGUCUGGGAAACUGCCUGAUGGAGGGGGAUAACUACUGGAAACGGUGGCUAAUACCGCAUAACGUCGCAAGACCAAAGAGGGGGACCUUCGGGCCUCUUGCCAUCAGAUGUGCCCAGAUGGGAUUAGCUAGUUGGUGAGGUAACGGCUCACCAAGGCGACGAUCCCUAGCUGGUCUGAGAGGAUGACCAGCCACACUGGAACUGAGACACGGUCCAGACUCCUACGGGAGGCAGCAGUGGGGAAUAUUGCACAAUGGGCGCAAGCCUGAUGCAGCCAUGCCGCGUGUAUGAAGAAGGCCUUAGGGUUGUAAAGUACUUUCAGCGGGGAGGAAGGUGUUGUGGUUAAUAACCACAGCAAUUGACGUUACCCGCAGAAGAAGCACCGGCUAACUCCGUGCCAGCAGCCGCGGUAAUACGGAGGGUGCAAGCGUUAAUCGGAAUUACUGGGCGUAAAGCGCACGCAGGCGGUCUGUCAAGUCGGAUGUGAAAUCCCCGGGCUCAACCUGGGAACUGCAUUCGAAACUGGCAGGCUUGAGUCUUGUAGAGGGGGGUAGAAUUCCAGGUGUAGCGGUGAAAUGCGUAGAGAUCUGGAGGAAUACCGGUGGCGAAGGCGGCCCCCUGGACAAAGACUGACGCUCAGGUGCGAAAGCGUGGGGAGCAAACAGGAUUAGAUACCCUGGUAGUCCACGCCGUAAACGAUGUCUACUUGGAGGUUGUGCCCUUGAGGCGUGGCUUCCGGAGCUAACGCGUUAAGUAGACCGCCUGGGGAGUACGGCCGCAAGGUUAAAACUCAAAUGAAUUGACGGGGGCCCGCACAAGCGGUGGAGCAUGUGGUUUAAUUCGAUGCAACGCGAAGAACCUUACCUGGUCUUGACAUCCACAGAACUUUCCAGAGAUGGAUUGGUGCCUUCGGGAACUGUGAGACAGGUGCUGCAUGGCUGUCGUCAGCUCGUGUUGUGAAAUGUUGGGUUAAGUCCCGCAACGAGCGCAACCCUUAUCCUUUGUUGCCAGCGGUUAGGCCGGGAACUCAAAGGAGACUGCCAGUGAUAAACUGGAGGAAGGUGGGGAUGACGUCAAGUCAUCAUGGCCCUUACGACCAGGGCUACACACGUGCUACAAUGGCGCAUACAAAGAGAAGCGACCUCGCGAGAGCAAGCGGACCUCAUAAAGUGCGUCGUAGUCCGGAUUGGAGUCUGCAACUCGACUCCAUGAAGUCGGAAUCGCUAGUAAUCGUGGAUCAGAAUGCCACGGUGAAUACGUUCCCGGGCCUUGUACACACCGCCCGUCACACCAUGGGAGUGGGUUGCAAAAGAAGUAGGUAGCUUAACCUUCGGGAGGGCGCUUACCACUUUGUGAUUCAUGACUGGGGUGAAGUCGUAACAAGGUAACCGUAGGGGAACCUGCGGUUGGAUCACCUCCUUACCU